Molecule: long non-coding RNA, 214 nt
Filed under: Nicotiana benthamiana
Lineage: Eukaryota; Viridiplantae; Streptophyta; Magnoliopsida; Solanales; Solanaceae
Description: long non-coding RNA (NBEN_LNC002966)
Source: RNAcentral
GGAGACCCAAAUACAACAUUUCCCUACUAUAUAAGUAUAUAUCACUCCUCCGUCUCCUGUUCUGUUCCUCCAACUCUACAAAAACAGAGAGAGAGAGAGAGAAAUAUGGCUCAGAGAUGAGCCUAUCCAUCCAAUAGCUUUUUUUCUUAUGCGACAAAUGAAGUAAAUGAAAAUUCAACCAUCCGUCUUCUUCACGGAAGAAGAUGGCUCACCA